RNAcentral lists this long non-coding RNA (1534 nucleotides) under Marmota monax (woodchuck). Lineage: Eukaryota; Metazoa; Chordata; Mammalia; Rodentia; Sciuridae. The record is from RNAcentral.
AUUAACCUAGGCAGCACGACAUAGACAUUGAAAAAAAUUUUUUUUUAGAAAAAUCUGCAUUCUAUUAGACAUGUAGAAAUUAUAUUCCCCGUUAUUUACUUCCCAUCUCUCUAUUAUACUCCACAUUACAAUUUGGUGGGAAUAGAAAAGUUGAUCUGUAUCACAUAGAAAUGUGAACCUGGCAGCAAAACAGGUUUCCAUUAAAAAUAGAGAAAAGUGGACCAAAAGAAGAGGCAGAAAGGUUUUAUUACAUUUAUUUUUGUCCAUUUCUGUAAUUUUUCCUGUUUUAUUUUAAAACCCUGGUCACAUGGUGCCAGAAUUUAUAUUUAUGGUUAAAUAAAUAUAUCCAUCAGACCCAAGUUUAUAUAAAGAAAAUAAUGCUUGUCUCGGGUAGAGAGGUAUUUUUAAAUCUUCAUAUUUUUAUAUUGGUUUAGUAGCUUUAGGCUAUCUUCCCCGACCCCCAGGCUCUCAGUUCUGAUUUUCUCACUUCCUGUCUAGCAUUGGACUUUGUCAAUGUGCCUGUCCGUACAGGACAUCCUCACCCCUUCAUUGUUCUUUAAUUCUGUUCUUGCCUUUCUGUCUUACCCACAUGUAGUCUCAGACUUUCUCUGAUGAAUGACUCAAUAGUUAAGAGAAACCAAGCAAAACGUCACCCUUGAAGUAAAUUACUGGCCUAGUUUAUGUGCCAAGUCACUUUUAGAAUUCCAUAAUUAUUUUUUAAUCAGGUACAUCAGUGAAUUUUUAAAUACCAAUAAGCAAUAUGAAAAGGCUCAUGUUUACAUGCUUUUCAAAAUGAAGUAUUGCCAUGGCCUGAGGUUUGAACUUUCUAGUAAAGAGCAUUAUUGAUUCUUUGUUACUGCCUCAAUCAUCCUGUGGGGUAAUACCUCCAAAUCACAGGAAGAUGACUGGGUUUGGGUUAGUAGUUAAAGAAGAGGAAGGGGAGUCUUCUCAAGACCAAAUCCUAAUACAAACUGUUUGAGAUAUAUUUGUUACAGUCAAGUUUCAGUCUUGACUUAAUGUGAUUGAAAGCUCUGUGCUGAGGAUUCUGGGUCUUUGAUCAAUUAGUAAUGGGUGCAGAAUUUGGAUUGUAAGCAUACAUACCACAUAUUUCUAUUCUUAAUAAAUCUACAUGAAGUAACAGAUUUUUAAAAAACAAAAACAAAAACAAAAAAGCACCAUGACUUUGUGGAAGUAAAGAACUUGGUCUCCAACCAGGUCAUGUGGGUCAAAAUUAUCACUGCAUCUUUAUCUAGUUGUAUAAUACUGGGAAAUCUGGUUAACCCUUCUGCAAUCCAGGAAAUGGAUAUAAUACCUGUAUUACAUGAUAGUAUAAUAUAAUUCCUAAACAUCAGUAAUUAAUCAGAACAAUACAUACAAGGCACAUAGGCCCUGUAGAGCCUUUAUAAGUGGUAGAUGUGCUAGUUAUUUCCAUUUUAUCAUCUCACACUCAUCUUCAAAAAAAAAAAAAAAGUCUUUAGAUCAUGAGGCUCCUGUGGGAAGGAGGGGUACCCAAGCUAAGUCAAUCACAUUAUAC